RNAcentral lists this unclassified non-coding RNA (345 nucleotides) under soil metagenome. Its description in RNAcentral is "partial contains 5.8S ribosomal RNA, internal transcribed spacer 2, and large subunit ribosomal RNA". The stretch from base 1 to 120 matches the Rfam family "5.8S ribosomal RNA", at positions 35 to 154 of the family's 154-position model. The record is from RNAcentral.
GAUGAAGAACGUAGCGAAAUGCGAUAAGUAGUGUGAAUUGCAGAAUUCAGUGAAUCAUCGAAUCUUUGAACGCACAUUGCGCCCCCUGGUAUUCCGGGGGGCAUGCCUGUCCGAGCGUCAUUGCUGCCCUCAAGCACGGCUUGUGUGUUGGGCCCCGUCCUCCGAUCCCGGGGGACGGGCCCGAAAGGCAGCGGCGGCACCGCGUCCGGUCCUCGAGCGUAUGGGGCUUUGUCACCCGCUCUGUAGGCCCGGCCGGCGCUUGCCGAUCAACCCAAAUUUUUAUCCAGGUUGACCUCGGAUCAGGUAGGGAUACCCGCUGAACUUAAGCAUAUCAAUAAGCGAGGA